CUCGGAGAGGGGGGUCCUUCAGCCCGGAUUGCGAGAAGGCACAGGCCAGGCCGAGGGACCCCACAGGUGCACG
Myotis lucifugus (little brown bat) is the source of this 73-nucleotide non-coding RNA. Lineage: Eukaryota; Metazoa; Chordata; Mammalia; Chiroptera; Vespertilionidae. The record is from Rfam.